GGCAUUUUCAAAACCCUCCUGGCUGGGCGUGAUCUCCAGAGAUCCCAGUCCUACUGGUCUCUGUGGCUCAGCCCUCCCUCCCAUCCAGGGUGUCUGAGAGAGCUGCUGGUGAGUCCUGCAGAUGCUUCGAGCUUGAAUCCAUUGGUCUGUGUGGCACGUAGUGCAACCCUGGAGAGGCGUGCGGAGAGGGAGAAUGAGAUCGAGACAGAUCCUGUGGGCACGCGUGGUGAUAGGUUGUUUGGCUUGGAAGAGAGUCUGGUACCCAGCCCAGGCCUUCCCGUGGGACCUUCAGGAGAGAGAAGGCCCCAUCCCAGAGUGUGCCUCAUUGAACAAGGAUUUUGAGGAAUGGCAGCUGCAGGAGAAGCUCUAAGAAGUCGCCCUUUUGGAAGGGGAAUUUACCUCUGUGAAGGAAUCUCUACCUGCCGGGUGUCUCCUCUGGGAUCCAGGAAGAAGAGGGAAACUCAGUUACAAGAGACACUUGUUGAGGAGAAAGCUCUAUUACAAGCCCACAGCAAGUUGUGGCCUUGGUCACCUGCCUUUCUGGUCACCUCCCCGUUGCCGGCCACCCCCAUCUUCUUUCUUUAUUUUAGUUGAAGAUAAGCUAGGGUUCUGGGCCACCUCCUGCAGAUUUGUGCGUCUUCCCCUGGAGUUUGCCACCCACGCAUGAGGUGUGUGGAUUAAUAAACUUCUGUUUUUCUCUUGUUCAUCUGCCAUGGGUUACAGGCGUCCAGUUUUUCUUCUCCUACAGGGAAACAAUUUGCUCCACUGGGAAGAGGGGAAAAGGCCACAGAAAGGCAAGUUGACCAGAAGACCCCUCACAGCGUCCCCUUAUCAUCACCUCCUCUGCCUCUAGGGAAGUCUUGGGGGCUGGUGGUGCAUUGGCUAGGUGCAGAGGCAAUGGCUACAGGCUGGGACCACUGUGGAAGCCCCCAGACUGAAGCCCCACUGCCUGAUCUCAUCAUCCUUUGCAUCACUCUGUGACCUAUGACUUUGACC
This 996-nucleotide long non-coding RNA is filed under the name Homo sapiens (human). RNAcentral's name for it is "HSALNT0131870". The record is from RNAcentral. Lineage: Eukaryota; Metazoa; Chordata; Mammalia; Primates; Hominidae.